This 64-nucleotide microRNA precursor is filed under the name Eisenia fetida (common brandling worm). Its description in RNAcentral is "Efe-Mir-2689-P1_pre stem-loop". Lineage: Eukaryota; Metazoa; Annelida; Clitellata; Crassiclitellata; Lumbricidae. The record is from RNAcentral.
GUGCAAUAGCAGGCCCCGGAUGCGGUGAAGUCAUCGGUGACGUAUCCUGGCCUGCAGUGCACGC